GGGGUUAAAUUAAAAAAUUAAUAAUAAUAAAAAAAAUUUUAAUAUUAAAAAGAAAAAAUGGGGGUUAGAGUAUUUUUAAUAGAAAAAAUUAAUAAAUUUAUAGUUAAUUAUUACUGUAAAGGAAAUUAUAAAUAGGGGAUAAUUAAUUAAGUGAAAAGUAAAUUUAAUUUAUUGUAUCUUGUGUAUCAGAGUUUAUUAAAAAAAAUAAUUUAUUUAAAUAAAUCUCGAAUUUAAAAGAGUUAAUUAAUUAAUAAAUUUACUGUUGAAUAAUUAUUUUAAAUAAUUAAUUAGAAAUGAAAUGUUAAUCGUUUUUAAAUAUAUCUAGUUUUUUUAGAAAAAAAUUUAAUUUUAAAUAAAAAUAAUUUUAUAAUUAAUUAAUUAAUUAUAAGAAUUUAGAAUUUAAUAUUUUAGGGGAUAAGCUUUAAAUUAAAAUGUUAUAAUUUAAUUAAUAAAAAUUAAAAUUUUUAAAAUUUAUAUUGUUUAAAAAUUAAAAUUUUUUAUAAAAAAUUUUAAUUAAAAUAAAAUUUAAAUUAAAUUUAAUUUUUUAUAAAAAAAUAAUUUAUAAUAAAUUAAAAUUAGAAAUAAUGAUAAAAUUAGUAUAUUAUAAUAUUAGAAAAUAAUAAUAAUAAAAAUUAAGUUAAAGGAAUUCGGCAAAUUUUUAUAUUCACUUGUUUAUCAAAAACAUGUCUUUUUGAAAAUAAUUUAAAGUCUAAUCUGCCCACUGAUAUAAUUAUUAAAGGGCUGCAGUAUAUUGACUGUACAAAGGUAGCAUAAUCAUUAGUCUUUUAAUUGAAGACUUGUAUGAAGGAUUUGAUGAAAUAUAAACUGUCUCUAACUUAUUAAUAUAAAAUUUAAUUUUUUAGUUAAAAAGCUAAAAUAAAAUUAAAAGACGAGAAGACCCUAUAGAGUUUUAUAAUUAAAUUAUUUUUUAAUUAAUAUUAAAUUAUUUAUAAUAAUUAAUUUAAUUAUUGUAUUGGGGUGAUAAGAAAAUUUAAAAAACUUUUUUGAAAAUUAAACAUAGAUAAAUGAUUAAAUGAUCCAUUAAAUAAUGAUUAUAAGAAAAAAUUACCUUAGGGAUAACAGCGUAAUAUUUUUUUUUAGUACAAAUAAAAAAAAAAGUUUGCGACCUCGAUGUUGGAUUAAGAUAAAAUUUAAAUGCAAAAAUUUAAAAUUUUGAUCUGUUCGAUCAUUAAAAUCUUACAUGAUCUGAGUUCAAACCGGUGUAAGCCAGGUUGGUUUCUAUCUUUAAUAAAAAAAAAUAUUUUAGUACGAAAGGAUCAAAUAUUUAAAAUAAUUUUAAUAAAAAGAAUAUUAAUAAUUAAUUAAUAAA
This 1330-nucleotide ribosomal RNA is filed under the name Pontia edusa. Its description in RNAcentral is "16S ribosomal RNA". The record is from RNAcentral. Lineage: Eukaryota; Metazoa; Arthropoda; Insecta; Lepidoptera; Pieridae.